UCCGGAAGUAGAGGCGGUGUGAGCCCCCCCUUUUGUUGCUAGGCGCGCGUUUCCGCUUCCGGUCCCCUUUGCGAUGGCGCCGCCGGGGGCCGCUCGGUCGCUGUAGCCGCCGCGCCUCUGCCGUCUCCCCUCGACCCUCCUAUGGCGGCCCCGCACGCCGACAAGCUGGAGGGGGGAGUCGGCCCCGCCCCGCCUGCCCCGGGUCCGCCGCCGCCGCCUCCCCUGCCGCCGGGCAGCCUCUCCGCUGGGCCAGGCCGCAAGCAGGGCAAGGCCGGCCUUCAAAUGAAGAGCCCUGAGAAGAAACGCCGCAAGUCCAACACCCAGGGCCCGGCCUAUUCCCACCUCUCGGAGUUUGCCCCGCCGCCGACCCCCAUGGUCGACCACCUGGUGGCCUCCAACCCCUUUGAGGAUGACUUUGGGGCACCCAAGGUGGGCUCCGCCUCUGCCCCUUUCCUCGGCAACCCCGGACCCUUUGGGAACUUCCGCAUGCAGGGGGCCAUGGGGCCCCAGGUCCCGCCCGGCUACGGUGGAGGGCCCCAGCCGAUGCGGAGGCAGCCGCCCCCCUUCGGACCCGGCCAGAUGGGCCCGGCCUUCAACAUGCCCGCCCAGAACCCUGGCUACGUGCAGCCCGGCGGCAUGGGCUUUGGGGGCCAGCCCUUCGGCCAGCCGCUGGGGCAGAACUUUAGCCCCCCCAGCGGGCAGCUCAUGCAGGGGCCCCUGGGCAGCUUCGGCCCCAUGAUCUCCCCUACCAUGGGGCAGCCCCCGCGCGGGGGGGACAUUGGCCCAGGGCCCGGCCUCAACCCCCCAGGGGGGCCUCCCAUGGGCCAGCGCUUCAGCCAGCCGGGCAACCUCUUCGGACAGUCGCCCAUGCAGCGCCCGAACCAGAACCUGCCCCCGAACCCCAGCCCCUUCCCCGGGCCCGACCCCGGCUUCCCGCCCGGCAGUGAAGACAGCGGUGGGAACAAGCCGCUCAACCCGCCCCCCAGCACCUUCCCCCAGGAGCAGCACGGCGGCUCGCCAGCGGCUGUGAAUGGCACACAGCCCGCCUUCGUGCCCAACAGCACUGGGCACAGCGGCACCGGCACCCCGGAGGCCAACAGCCUGCCCCCGUCCAGCAAGGCCGGCGGCGGCUCGGGGCACCAGCCGCCCCCCGGGCUGGUGUACCCCUGCGGGGCCUGCCACAGCGAGGUCCACGACGACCAGGACGCCAUCAUGUGCGAGGCCUCCUGCCAGAAGUGGUUCCACCGGGAGUGCACCGGCAUGACGGAGAACGCCUACGGGCUGCUGACCACCGAGGCCUCGGCCGUCUGGGCCUGCGACUUCUGCCUGAAGACCAAGGAGAUCCAGUCGGUCUAUGUCCGCGAGGGCAUCGGGCAGCUGGUGGCCGCCAACGACGGCUGAGCGGGCGGGAGGGAGCGGGAAGCCUCGGCCGCCCUCGCCCGGGACCCCCCCCGCCUUUCUGCCCCCAGGCUCACCUGCAGGCCACUGGCUUCUCAUGCGCCCCUGGGCUGAGCGGCUUGGGACGAGCGAAGAUGCAAUCCGGGGGAACCUUUUCGUUUUUGUUUUUAAAGUGUCGGUGACUUCCAGAAGUUGGGCCACGGCCGCCCUCCUGUUGGAUUCCCAGCCCCCUCACCUUGGCAUCCUGUUGGCUGUCGAGUGGCUGCCAUUUGGGGGAGCGGGGGGAGGCCCAGAGCGGUUGCCCCGUGCCCAUGGCCCCUGCAGAAGCACCGUCGCCGGUGUGUUCUUUCCGUGUGCUCCAGCUGGGGGUGUCGGUGGGACGAAGGCUCAUUGUGUGAGAUUUGGCGUGUUCCACAGCCCUGGAGGUGGCAAGUGGGUGAUGGUGCUGCAAGGCGUUUGGGGUCUUCUCCUCCCUCUAGUGUCCCACUCAUCCGGCUUGCAGCAGCCCGAUUUGCAGUGGUGUCUUGAAAACUUUGAAAAGACUGGGGGAGGGGGUCCCUUUGUUUAAAAAACAAAGCAGACCCCUACCGCAAUGUGUUUAGCAGUGUUGUCAGGGGCAUAGAAAUGCAAAUGUGCAAGCAUGUCCUCCAUGGAGAGAGUCAGGGGUGUCUUUAAAGAGCCCUGGGGUGGAGCCUGGGGCAAAUCGGCCAGGGCGGUGGGGGGGGCCCUUUCAAUAGCAGCAAGAAGAGUGGGGCCCUGCCCCAAGGACAGCCCUGGCAACCAUUGUGACCCUUUGCUCUGGGCAAAAGUAACUGCAUUCCCACCCCAGUGGUCUGAGGCUCGGGAUAAAGAGGGGGCGAGAAGACCGAGGCGGCGGUCUGAGCAGCAAUGCCAACACCUCUUCUCCAUCUCUGGGCGGUAGACAUUGCCAGAACUCACGAUGAAUGUUCGUCCCCAGAGAUGGCCACAGUUUUUCGGCCCAGCUCCUGGACUCAGUGGCCACAAACCAGUUUCCGAGAGCAGCCUCUGCUUCCGUGCCUGGGCCGCCACGGGUCUGGCGCUUCGGUUGGGAAAGGGAGCUGUGGUGGCGUUCACAGCCCGCCCGCCCUGUUCUCGUGGCCAGAAGCCGAGGCCCUCUCCUAGGACCAGCCUGGCACGCUCGCGGGCAGUUUCUUCCCCGUUUGGCAUGGAUGCGCCAGCCCUCCGCGGGUGCUUCUAAAGAGGAGCUUCCCUUCCCACAAUGCCGCACUGCUCAUGCCUGUGAAAGGACUUCUCCCUGUGUUACGGGGCAUUCAGAGACAAGCCAUGCAAGUUUGAAAGAAAAUGCCAACUUUGGACAUGUUUUCCUUUUUUUAACAUUUUCAUUUUGUACGAUAUUUUUGCUGUGUUGGUGAUUUCCCCCAAUUUUAGUAUUAUUGUGGUUUUUUUAAGGGGGGGGAUGAUCAAGUGAUUCCUGAUGUGAUUUUUUUUUUAAUAAUUAAAAAUGACCCUGCUGGAACUUUGACAGGAAAAGGGGUGGGGGGUGGGGGUGGGAGCACAUAAGCACACUCCCCUCUUUUUGUUUUUAUGUGAGAACAUUGAAAUAAAACUUUUGUACCAUCUGGUUGUGGCUUAAUGUGAGGGGUGGGGUGGAAUGUUUCUUGUCCUUUCACGAGUGUGUGAGUUUGUGGCCUGCGUCUAGGCAGAGCUGAUGGUGUUGACGUUGUUGUUGUUUUUAAAUUAACAUUUAUGUCCUAAUUUUCUCCCCUGAUGGAUUCGUCCAUGAGGUUCUCAAAUAAUCAAGCACUGAUCUGACCCCAGACAUCUGAAGAGUGGCUGCAGGAUCAGGCGAAAGAGUCCGUCUCUUCCAGCUGCAGUUGGUCCCCAUCGUCUGAGAUUGAGGCUGACUCUGGGAACACACUAGCCCUUUCCCUCUGCUGCUGCUACCCGGCCGAUGAGGGUGGAGACUCCAUAAGGCUAGCAGCUGUUGACAGAUCUCUCUUCCUCCUUGUCCAAACCCAUCUGGCUUGUGUGUUGUUGCAGUGAGUUUCAUCAGUUGUCCAUUGUGGGGGGAAGGGCUUCCUUUUGUCUGUCUGGUAUCUCCUGUCAAUAAGGGUCCCUUGGGUGACUCCCCAGCUCUAGUAGGACGGGAGACGGGAGCAGAGCUGGCCUUGUGGUUGCAGGAUAUUCCCCUUGCAGGGCGGGGCCAUUGCUCAGUGGUCGAGCAUCAGCUUUUCAUGCAUAUGGUCCCAGGUGCAAUCCCUGGCAGCAUCUCCAAGAAGGGCUGGAAAGGACCUAAAACUCUGGAGAAUGGCUUACAAGUCUGAGCUAGACUCGGCAUAAGGCUGCUUCCUACGUUCCUAGGGAGAUAAACUUGCAAUAUGUAUAAUCCUAUAAAUCUGCAAGCUCUAGUAAUGAAAGCCAAGGAGCACAGUGAAAAAAUGGGACUACAGCAAAAUGUCAAGAAGACUAAACUGAUGACAACGGGUACAGCAACCAGCCUCAGACUUGAUAAUGAAGACACUGAAGUGGUGGGUGGCUUCUGCCUUUUAGGAUCGACCGUCAACAGUCAAGGAUCCAGCAGUCAAGAAAUACACCGCAGACUAGCACUUGGUAGGGUUCCAAUGAAGGCCUUGGAAAGGAUAUUGAGAUGCCGGGAUGUGUCUACACCUACAAAGAUUACAAUCGUUCGGACAGUGGUUUUUCCUGUGACUCUACAGAUGCGAAAGCUGGACUUUGAAGAAGCAAGGCAGAAAAAGCAUUGAUGCUUUUGAACUUGGGUGCUGGAGAAGACUUUUGAGGAGACCAUGGACAGCCAGGAAAGCCAACCAAUGGAUCAUAGUACAAAUCAAUCCAGAAUUUUCACUCGAGGCACAAAGGACCAGGCUCAAACGAUCGUACUUCGGACACAUUCUGCGAAGACCCAGCUCCCUUGAGAAGUCUAUAUUGCUGGGGAAAGUUGAAGGAAAUUGAAGAAGAGGACGACCAGCAGCAAGGUGGAGGGACUCGAGGACGGCAGCACUGAGAGACCUUCAAGGCCAAGUGGAAGACGGAUCAUCCUGGAGAGAAUCUGUCUACGUGGUCACUAAGAGUCGACACCGACUUGACAGCACUUCAUCCAUCAAUCUCCAUCAGGCCUGCUUGGUUUCAGAAGGUGCAUCACCUGCCUUGAAAUUUUGCCCUGGGCUGCUUUUGAGGGAGUGCCUAGUCCGGAUCCUUCCUCCCUCCGCCAAAGAGCUUGCCUUUCCUGCAAAUCCAGCAGACUCUCUUGCUCCAAACCCUGCUGAUUUGCAGAACGGAGAUGACCCCAGCCUCCCUUCCCAGGAAAGGGAAGUGAAUUUGAAUGGCUUCCGUCUGGUUCCUGAGCUCACACAGGGGGCCCGAGUCGGCAUCACAACCCGGCGACCACAGAGCCCUGUGGCUUUCUUGGAAGACUACAGGAGGGGUUGACCAUUGCCUCCCUCCCACGCAGGAUGAGAUGAUGCCUUUGCAUCCACCUCCAGCACCUUCCAAUAUCGCUGCUGCCCUAUAUAGGUGACUGUAAAUAUCUUUUUACUAGGCACAGUCCGGGAAGCACACCGGCAGGGAUUCGAACUCACAGCCUCUUGGUCCCUAGGCAAGCUGCUUCCCCGCUGCGCCUCCACAGCAUAUAAGGCACAGUUCAAUAGCAUCCACCAGUGAAGGAGGACCACAGGGCAUCUUGGAGGGUGUUCCACGGCAGGGCAUAGGUGCACAGGAAGCUGCCGUCUACUGAGUCAGACCUUUGGUCCACCUAACACAUUAUUGUCUACCCUGACUGGCAGCGGCUCUCCAAGGUUUCAGGCAGGGGAGGGAUUGAACCUGGGGUUGUCUGCAUACCAAGCAGAUGCUCUACCACUGAGCCCCAUCCCCAACGUGGGAAGCUGCCUUGUCCAGAGUCAGACCUUUGGUCCCUCUAGCUCAGACCGGCUGGCAGCAUCUCUCCCAGCCCUACCUGGAGAUGCUGCCAAAGAGUGAACCUGGGCCCUUUUGCCCCCGAGCUAACGGCCUCAUCCCCAAAUCAAAUGCUCUACGGCUGAGCCAGGGCCUCCGCCUUGGUGCCACAGCAGAAAAGGCCCUGUCACUUCUGCCCAACUGCUAUAACCUUGAGGGCAGAGGGGUGCAGCAAGACCGCUGGCCACUCGGUGGGUUCAUAGAGGGCGAGGCGACCCCUUGGCCGUUGGGUCCUAGGAUGCUCCUGGCGUUGGCAGGAGCGUGAUGUCCAGCAUGAACCUGCCCAUUUUCCAACGCAGCCCCCUCCACACACACACACACACACACCCCUGCUUCAUGCUCCUGGCUGCAAACUUGCUCCCCCGCCCGCGGCCAAACCACAAAAACAUCCUUGCCCUUCCCAGACGGCCCACGGCUUUUCGGAGCCGCAGAGCUGGGCCAGAGCCCUUGCGACGUGUUCUGUCUGCUCCUUUUGUUCUCUUCCUUGGAAGUCCGGUGACAAACUGGUGCCCUGGACAGCCGAUUUCCUCCCCAAUCCCUCUCCUUGGCUGAGGCUCCAAAGACAGCUCACCGCCCCCCACCCGCCCGAGCCCAGUCCCUGGUGCCAGGUCCGUAGAGCUGCCAAGGACAGGUCUGGGACACUCUGGUGGCCCAGAAAAGGCUGACGGGGGGCGGCAUUCAGGGGCCAAAUCUGGAAGCUUUUUGAGGGGAAACUGCCAAGAGCUGUUUUGUGGUGGAGAAGGUGGCUGAGGGAGGAGGCGGGGAUGCUCUUCUUGCUUGAAAUCUCUUAUUUAUCUGUGUCCGUGUUGUUUAUCUUUGCAAAGAAUGAGAUGGGUCUCCGCCCCAAGGCACUUGCAGUCAAAACAAAGGAGACCACAGGCGGAAGGGGAGAGAAACGGAGGCAGGGUGGGCAGCAGGAAUUAAUGUGGAAUUAUCUCAGUCUCAAUCAGCUUGCUGACAGGAGGGAAGGAGAACUUCCUGGUGGCAAAGUCUUCACGGAGAGCUCUGCCACAGACUCCUUAGGUGGCCGUAGUCAUGUUUCUUCUUGGCUUCAGUGCCAUCUGCAGAAGUGGCAGGCAGUAACGCUGGCCUGCCUUUCAAGUCGGGUUUGAACAGAUUUCAGCAAGAGGAGAUCCGUGAACCGCAUUUCACUCCUUACAAUAACCUCCCCAAGUACUGGGAUGGGUGUUGCCUUUAACAGGCUAUAACCUCCCAGGCGGCAAUGGCUUUUGCCUGGGGCCGCUGGAAAUGAGGAGGGCAAUAUUUCUCCAUGCCAGAAUAUUCCUCAGUAUCCAUGGCCUCCAUCCUUUCCCCUCUUAGGGUGCCCCAGGAACCUCACCAACCUGGAGGGAUGGAGCCGCUCUGGGAAGAGCAGAAGGCUCCAAGUUCCCUCCCUGGCAGCAUCUCCAAGACAGGGCUGGGAGAGACUCCUGCCUGCAACCUUGGAGAAGCCGCUGCCAGUCUGGGUAGACAAUCCUGAGCUAGGUGGACCAAGGGUCUGACUCAGUAAACGGCAGCUUCCUAUGCUCCUCAGCUUCUGCGUUCGCCUUGAGGGGGCUUGAUGAGAGUCGCCGGUGGUGACUCGCCUGCCUUAGAGGCAUGUAUGCUUCAGGGCGACACAGAAUUCUUCGGCAGCCAGCCGGGCUCAGCUGCCCUCCUUCCUGCGCAGCUGUUGCUGCCGCUCAGCCGCGCUCAUCUGGCCUAGUCAUCCCGGGGAGGGAGGGG
Molecule: RNA transcript, 7074 nt
Organism: Hemicordylus capensis (graceful crag lizard)
Lineage: Eukaryota; Metazoa; Chordata; Lepidosauria; Squamata; Cordylidae
Gene: PYGO2
Gene name: pygopus family PHD finger 2
Exons: 4
Source: RefSeq, a predicted model, not a curated record